UCUCUGUCCAAGCUACCAAGGGUCAACGGUGGAUGCCUUGGCGCCAGGAGCCGAUGAAGGACGUGGCAGGCUGCGAUAAGCCCCGGCGAGCUGUCAAGCAAGCUUCGACCCGGGGAUGUCCGAAUGGGGAAACCCGGCUGGGGUCAUGCCCAGUCACUCCGGUCUGAACACAUAGGACCGGUAGAGGGAACCGGCGGAACUGAAACAUCUAAGUACUCCGAGGAAGAGAAAGCAACAGCGAUUCCCUGAGUAGCGGCGAGCGAAACGGGAUCAGCCCAAACCUCUGCAGUGCAAUAGCCCGACGGCGUUGCUGCGGGGGGGUUGUGGGACCUGCUGGACGGUGCGUCGGCGCCGUCACAGAGUUACAAAGGCGAAGAUCAGCCGAACCCGGAUGGAAAGCCGGGCCGUAGAAGGUAACAGCCCUGUAGGCGAAGGCCUUCGCUCUCUGAGCGGUGUUCCCAAGUAUCACGGAGGAUAUUCCGUGUGAAUCUGCGAGAACCACCUCGUAAGGCUAAACACUUCCUGGCGACCGAUAGUGAACUAGUACCGUGAGGGAAAGGUGAAAAGCACCCCGGUGAGGGGAGUGAAAUAGUACCUGAAACCGUUGACCUACAAGCAGUGGGAGGAGUUCUCUUUUGAGAGCUCUGACCGCCUGCCUUUUGAAGAAUGAGCCGGCGAGUUAGCGGUAUGUGGCGAGGUUAAGGUAGUUGUACCGGAGCCGAAGCGAAAGCGAGUCUGAACAGGGCGAUUCAGUCGCAUGCCCUAGACCCGAAUCCGGGCGAUCUAUCCAUGGGCAGGGUGAAGCGAAGGUAAGACUUCGUGGAGGCCCGAACCCACCAAGGUUGAAAACUUGGGGGAUGACCUGUGGAUAGGGGUGAAAGGCCAAUCAAGCCCGGUGAUAGCUGGUUCUCCCCGAAAUAGCUUUAGGGCUAGCGUUGCGCGUUUCGCAAUGGGGGUAGAGCACUGAUUGAACUAGGGGGCCCACAAGCCUACCAACUUCAGUCAAACUCCGAAUCUCAUUGCGUUAGAGCGUGGCAGUCAGUCUACGUGGGAUGAGCUUCGUGGACGCAAGGGAAACAGCCCAGAUCGCCAGCUAAGGUCCCUAAGUCUGAGCUAAGUGGGAAACGAUGUGGAGUUGCACAAACAGCCAGGAGGUUGGCUUAGAAGCAGCCAUCCUUUAAAGAAUGCGUAACAGCUCACUGGUCGAGUGGCGCUGCGCGGAAAAUGUAACGGGGCUAAAGCUCAGCACCGAAGCUGCGAGAUUCCGUCCGUUGGGACGGGAUCGGUAGGGGAGCGUCGUGUCGACAUAGAAGCGUCGCCGUGAGGAGGCGUGGAGACGGCACGAGUGAGAAUGCCGGUAUGAGUAGCGAAAGAAGAGUGAGAAUCUCUUCCGCCGAAUGUCCAAGGGUUCCUGGGGAAGGUUCGUCCGCCCAGGGUUAGUCGGGACCUAAGGCGAGGCCGCAAGGCGUAGUCGAUGGACAACGGGUUGAUAUUCCCGUACCGCUCUGUGCGCGCCCGACCAAGACCGGUCAUGCUAAGACCGCAUCUUCGGAUGGGGUCGAACCAGACCGGAGGAGGUCAGCAACGGGGUGACGUGGAAGGGUAAGCGGACCCGGGCGUUGGUUGUUCCCGGGGUAAACGUGUAGGGUGCGGCCCAGGUAAAUCCGGGCCGCUCAAAAGCCCGAGGCGUGAUGCCGAUCCGCCUUAAGGAGAAGCCGCUGAACGCCCAUGCCACCGAGAAAAACCUCUAGCGAGUGCACAGUGCGCCCGUACCCCAAACCGACACAGGUGGACAGGUAGAGAAUACCAAGGCGAGCGAG
RNAcentral lists this ribosomal RNA (1820 nucleotides) under Acidimicrobiia bacterium. RNAcentral describes it as "partial 23S ribosomal RNA". It matches the Rfam family "Bacterial large subunit ribosomal RNA", at positions 1 to 1694 of the family's 2925-position model. Lineage: Bacteria; Bacillati; Actinomycetota; Acidimicrobiia. The record is from RNAcentral.